CAAGGUUCGCUUCCUCCUGCCCGGGUCAUCAUGGGAGCCCGAGGACGGAGCCGUCCUCACCUCACGUGGAUCCCUGAGUAGGGCGAUGUAGAGAAGAGCCCCCGACCUGAGAGGGAUGUGUGGUGUGAGCGAGAAUCAGCCUUCAAUCAGUUUUAGCCCGAGCUCAUUACCUACUGCUUCCUGCUAUGAAACAAAAAUAUGAGGAUUUAGCUCUGAGACCAGCGCUGCUCACACUUUCGCCCUCCCGCUGCAUCCCGGUAGAGUUUUACCAAGACUUCAUAGACAUAAGAAACUUGCCGUGUUUAUACCACCAGAAUCCGGUAAAAGCGUCCAAAGUGUUCUAAGCAGCUGUAGUGAACGCAACCCCCAAUUCUCAGCCCUGCCUGUAGCCGCCUCUCGAUAUGAUCGCACCAGCAGGAUCCAGCAAGCAUGCUCCCUCCAUUCAGCCAAGGGAGUAAAAAAACGGAAGUCCACGCAAAAAUCCUGCACAUGGGUGUUUAUAGCAGCUUUAUUCAUAAACUGCCAAAACUUGGAAGCAACCAAAGAUAGUCUUCAACAGGGAAAUGAAUAAAAACCUGUGGUAUAUCCAGACAGUGGAAUAUUAGCAAGCCAUGGCAAGACCUGGAGGAACCUUAAAAGCACACUGCUAAGUGAAAGAAGCCAGUCUGAAAAGGCUCCAUACUGGGUGAUUCCAGCUGUCUGACAUUCUGGAAGAGAGAAAACUCUGGAACCUGUAGAUGGAAAGAUCACUGGCCGCAGGGGUUCAGGCGGAGGGAGCGAGGGAUAGGCAGAGCUCAGAUGAGUUUUCGGGCAGUGAAACUGUUCCAUAUGAUAUUGCCGUGGGGGAUAUGAGCCAUUAUGUUUGUCAAAACCCAUAGACUAUGCAACACAGAGAGUGAACCCUCAUGUAAACUGUGGACUUUAGUUAAUAAUAAUGUAUCAAGAUCGGCUCCUCAAUGGUAAC
This 964-nucleotide long non-coding RNA is filed under the name Equus caballus (horse). RNAcentral describes it as "lncRNA (ENSECAG00000044308.1)". The record is from RNAcentral. Lineage: Eukaryota; Metazoa; Chordata; Mammalia; Perissodactyla; Equidae.